GGACGGGUGAGUAACGCGUGGGUAACCUGCCUCAUACAGGGGGAUAACAGUUGGAAACGGCUGCUAAUACCGCAUAAGCGCACAGUACCGCAUGGUACCGUGUGAAAAACUCCGGUGGUAUGAGAUGGACCCGCGUCUGAUUAGCUAGUUGGUGGGGUAACGGCCUACCAAGGCGACGAUCAGUAGCCGACCUGAGAGGGUGACCGGCCACAUUGGGACUGAGACACGGCCCAAACUCCUACGGGAGGCAGCAGUGGGGAAUAUUGCACAAUGGGGGAAACCCUGAUGCAGCGACGCCGCGUGAGCGAUGAAGUAUUUCGGUAUGUAAAGCUCUAUCAGCAGGGAAGAAAAUGACGGUACCUGACUAAGAAGCCCCGGCUAACUACGUGCCAGC
Molecule: ribosomal RNA, 394 nt
Filed under: Mediterraneibacter gnavus
Lineage: Bacteria; Bacillati; Bacillota; Clostridia; Lachnospirales; Lachnospiraceae
Description: bacterial SSU rRNA
Rfam family: Bacterial small subunit ribosomal RNA
Source: RNAcentral